This 1046-nucleotide ribosomal RNA is filed under the name uncultured bacterium. RNAcentral's name for it is "bacterial SSU rRNA". It matches the Rfam family "Bacterial small subunit ribosomal RNA", at positions 54 to 1067 of the family's 1533-position model. The record is from RNAcentral.
CAUGCAAGUCGAACGGACUUACUUUUUUUAGUAGUAUGUAGCAAGCAGUAUGUAGCAAGGGUUUCCCUUUCUACUUUCUGCAUUCUACCUGCUGCCGGUAAGUUAGUGGCGGACGGGUGAGUAACACGUUGGUACUUGCCCUCUAGUGGGGAAUAACUGGCCGAAAGGUCGGCUAAUACCGCAUAAUAUCUUCGGAUUAAAGCAUUUAUGCGCUAGAGGAGAGGCCUGCGUCUGAUUAGCUAGUUGGUAGUGUAAUGGACUACCAAGGCGACGAUCAGUAGCUGGUUCGAGAGGAUGACCAGCCACACUGGGACUGAGAUACGGCCCAGACUCCUACGGGAGGCAGCAGUGAGGAAUCUUCCGCAAUGGACGAAAGUCUGACGGAGCAACACCGCGUGCAGGAUGACGGCUUUCGGGUUGUAAACUGCUUUUAUAUGGGAAGAUUAUGACGGUACCAUAUGAAUAAGGACCGGCUAACUACGUGCCAGCAGCCGCGGUAAUACGUAGGGUCCAAGCGUUAUCCGGAAUUACUGGGCGUAAAGCGUACGUAGGCGGGUGCUUAAGUGAAAUGCGAAAUCUUGUGGCUCAACCAUAUAGACUGUAUUUCAUACUGGGCGCCUUGAGGAUGGCAGAGGCAAGUGGAAUUUGUAGUGUAGCAGUGAAAUGCGUAGAUAUUACAAGGAACACCAAUGGCGAAGGCAGCUUGCUGGGCCAUAUCUGACGCUGAGGUACGAAAGCGUGGGGAGCGAACAGGAUUAGAUACCCUGGUAGUCCACGCCGUAAACGAUGCACACUAAUAGUAUGGGGUAUCGACCCCCUGUGCUGUGAAGCUAACGCGAUAAGUGUGCCGCCUGGGGAGUACGAGCGCAAGCUUAAAACUCAAAGGAAUUGACGGGGACCCGCACAAGCAGAGGAUGAUGUGGUUUAAUUCGAAGCUACGCGUAGAACCUUACCAAGGCUUGACAUCCUAGGAAUCCGCUAGAAACAGUGGAGUGCCUUCGGGAACCUAGUGACAGGUGCUGCAUGGCCGUCGUCAGCUCGUGUUG